Molecule: ribosomal RNA, 478 nt
Filed under: uncultured bacterium
Lineage: Bacteria
Description: partial 16S ribosomal RNA
Rfam family: Bacterial small subunit ribosomal RNA
Source: RNAcentral
GACGAACGCUGGCGGCGUGCUUAACACAUGCAAGUCGAACGGUAAGGCCCUUCGGGGUACACGAGUGGCGAACGGGUGAGUAACACGUGGGUGAUCUGCCCUGCACUUCGGGAUAAGCCUGGGAAACUGGGUCUAAUACCGGAUAGGACCACUGCCUGCAUGGGUGGUGGUGGAAAGCUUUUGCGGUGUGGGAUGGGCCCGCGGCCUAUCAGCUUGUUGGUGGGGUGAUGGCCUACCAAGGCGACGACGGGUAGCCGGCCUGAGAGGGUGACCGGCCACACUGGGACUGAGAUACGGCCCAGACUCCUACGGGAGGCAGCAGUGGGGAAUAUUGCACAAUGGGCGCAAGCCUGAUGCAGCGACGCAGCGUGAGGGAUGACGGCCUUCGGGUUGUAAACCUCUUUCAGCACCGACGAAGCGCAAGUGACGGUAGGUGCAGAAGAAGGACCGGCCAAUUACGUGCCAGCCGCCGCGGUAA